AUUGAACGCUGGCGGCAGGCCUAACACAUGCAAGUCGAGCGGAUGAAGGGAGCUUGCUCCUGUAUUCAGCGGCGGACGGGUGAGUAAUUCCUAGGAAUCUGCCUGGUAGUUGGGGAUAACGUCCGUAAACGGGCGCUAAUACCGCAUACGUCCUUAGUUAGAAAGUGGUGGAUCUUCGGACCUCACGCUAUCAGAUGAGCCUAGGUCGGAUUAGCUAGUUGGUGGGGUAAAGGCCUACCAAGGCGACGAUCCGUAACUGGUCUGAGAGGAUGAUCAGUCACACUGGAACUGAGACACGGUCCAGACUCCUACGGGAGGCAGCAGUGGGGAAUAUUGGACAAUGGGCGAAAGCCUGAUCCAGCCAUGCCGCGUGUGUGAAGAAGGUCUUCGGAUUGUAAAGCACUUUAAGUUGGGAGGAAGGGAAGUAAGUUAAUACCUUGCUGUUUUGACGUUACCAAAAGAAUAAGCCCCGGCUAACUUCGUG
This 484-nucleotide ribosomal RNA is filed under the name uncultured bacterium. RNAcentral describes it as "partial 16S ribosomal RNA". It matches the Rfam family "Bacterial small subunit ribosomal RNA", at positions 30 to 507 of the family's 1533-position model. The record is from RNAcentral.